CUCGUGAUCAAGAAGACGAGUGGCCUAGGCUAGUGAAUUCCAUUGCACAUAACGGAAGGGUGCUUAGCUUAAGGUCUUCCCUUGUGGAAGAGCCUGCGUCAUUAUUUGUGGCAGAGGGGGUUUGCGUUCGCGCAGCCCCUA
Molecule: small nuclear RNA, 141 nt
Filed under: Arabidopsis thaliana (thale cress)
Lineage: Eukaryota; Viridiplantae; Streptophyta; Magnoliopsida; Brassicales; Brassicaceae
Description: partial putative U1a small nuclear RNA
Rfam family: U1 spliceosomal RNA
About the family: U1 is a small nuclear RNA (snRNA) component of the spliceosome (involved in pre-mRNA splicing).
Source: RNAcentral